CGAAUUUCCAAAUCGAAGUUUAAUGAUAUGGUAUUUGGUAUGUAUUUUCAUUUACCGAUUAUCAAAUUACCGAAUUUGAAUUAUGAUAAUAGCAAACUGAAUACCGAACACCCACCCCUAGAUACAUAUAACCAAAUUAGGCCUAAGAAAUAAAAUUGAUUGUGAAUGGCAAUAUAUAUUAUUUUUAUUAAUGUAAGAUAAACAUCGA
RNAcentral lists this long non-coding RNA (208 nucleotides) under Capsicum annuum. RNAcentral describes it as "long non-coding RNA (CANN_LNC012385)". The record is from RNAcentral. Lineage: Eukaryota; Viridiplantae; Streptophyta; Magnoliopsida; Solanales; Solanaceae.